GUUUUAAUAGCUUAUUUAGAGUAUAAUAUUGAAGAUAUUAUGGAGAAAUUUUUCUUAAAAUA
RNAcentral lists this transfer RNA (62 nucleotides) under Stenocladius bicoloripes. RNAcentral describes it as "tRNA-Phe". Lineage: Eukaryota; Metazoa; Arthropoda; Insecta; Coleoptera; Lampyridae. The record is from RNAcentral.